AAUAUACUCCCUCCGUCCGGAAAUAUUUGUCCUAAAAAUGGAUAAACUGGAUGUAUCUAUAACUAAAAUAAGUCUAGAAACAUCCAUUUCGGGACAAGUAUUUUCGGACAGAGGGAGUAGUAU
Triticum aestivum (bread wheat) is the source of this 123-nucleotide non-coding RNA. Lineage: Eukaryota; Viridiplantae; Streptophyta; Magnoliopsida; Poales; Poaceae. The record is from Rfam.